UAGAGUUUGAUCAUGGCUCAGAACGAACGCUGGCGGCGUGGAUAAGACAUGCAAGUCGAACGAGAGAAUUGCUAGCUUGCUAAUAAUUCUCUAGUGGCGCACGGGUGAGUAACACGUGAGUAACCUGCCCCCGAGAGCGGGAUAGCCCUGGGAAACUGGGAUUAAUACCGCAUAGUAUCGAAAGAUUAAAGCAGCAAUGCGCUUGGGGAUGGGCUCGCGGCCUAUUAGUUAGUUGGUGAGGUAACGGCUCACCAAGGCGAUGACGGGUAGCCGGUCUGAGAGGAUGUCCGGCCACACUGGAACUGAGACACGGUCCAGACACCUACGGGUGGCAGCAGUCGAGAAUCAUUCACAAUGGGGGAAACCCUGAUGGUGCGACGCCGCGUGGGGGAAUGAAGGUCUUCGGAUUGUAAACCCCUGUCAUGUGGGAGCAAAUUAAAAAGAUAGUACCACAAGAGGAAGAGACGGCUAACUCUGUGCCAGCAGCCGCGGUAAUACAGAGGUCUCAAGCGUUGUUCGGAAUCACUGGGCGUAAAGCGUGCGUAGGCUGUUUCGUAAGUCGUGUGUGAAAGGCGCGGGCUCAACCCGCGGACGGCACAUGAUACUGCGAGACUAGAGUAAUGGAGGGGGAACCGGAAUUCUCGGUGUAGCAGUGAAAUGCGUAGAUAUCGAGA
Molecule: ribosomal RNA, 674 nt
Filed under: uncultured bacterium
Lineage: Bacteria
Description: bacterial SSU rRNA
Rfam family: Bacterial small subunit ribosomal RNA
Source: RNAcentral